Molecule: RNA transcript, 543 nt
Organism: Pimephales promelas (fathead minnow)
Lineage: Eukaryota; Metazoa; Chordata; Actinopteri; Cypriniformes; Leuciscidae
Gene name: proteasomal ubiquitin receptor ADRM1
Source: RefSeq, a predicted model, not a curated record
UCAUUGUUUUCUUACUCAAAUGGAAAUGCUAAAAACAAAACAUGUUUACUUGGGAAUAUUGUUUUAAUCCGCAGUCAUUUUGCAUGUUUUACAGCAUCUUUCCAUCCCGUGAGUCUUACGUAAUAUACCUUUAACUAACAUGACAUCAUCCUCCAGGAAGUGGCAUCAUUUUGGAGGGAAAACAACAGAUAACAGAAGGCGAUGAGUAUGUUCAGCAGUGCUCUAGCCUCCGGUCAGCUCGGCCCUCUCAUGAACCAGUUUGGUCAUCCCUCUGAAGCAGUUGACGCAGCUAAUAAAGGAGAUGUGGAGGCGUUUGCCAAGGCCAUGGAGGGCAGUGAUGCCAAGACCGAUGAUGGUGAUUCCAAAGACAAGAAAGAUGAUGACGAGAACAUGAGCUUGGAUUAGAACGGCCUUCUGAACACAACCGUGUCUCUCUGAAGAGUUAGUCUCAUAUUAGUCUGGGAUGUUUGCCUGUAAUCAUUGAUUCAAGUGUGUUUUGUAUGUCCAAAGCUACACUAUUGAACAAUUGACUAUGUAAUGCCA